Molecule: ribosomal RNA, 1346 nt
Filed under: uncultured bacterium
Lineage: Bacteria
Description: bacterial SSU rRNA
Rfam family: Bacterial small subunit ribosomal RNA
Source: RNAcentral
GACGAACGCUGGCGGCGUGCUUAACACAUGCAAGUCGAACGGAAAGGCCCUGCUUUUGUGGGGUGCUCGAGUGGCGAACGGGUGAGUAACACGUGAGUAACCUGCCCUUGACUUUGGGAUAACUUCAGGAAACUGGGGCUAAUACCGGAUAGGAGCUCCUGCUGCAUGGUGGGGGUUGGAAAGUUUCGGCGGUUGGGGAUGGACUCGCGGCUUAUCAGCUUGUUGGUGGGGUAGUGGCUUACCAAGGCUUUGACGGGUAGCCGGCCUGAGAGGGUGACCGGCCACAUUGGGACUGAGAUACGGCCCAGACUCCUACGGGAGGCAGCAGUGGGGAAUAUUGCACAAUGGGCGGAAGCCUGAUGCAGCAACGCCGCGUGCGGGAUGACGGCCUUCGGGUUGUAAACCGCUUUCGCCUGUGACGAAGCGUGAGUGACGGUAAUGGGUAAAGAAGCACCGGCUAACUACGUGCCAGCAGCCGCGGUGAUACGUAGGGUGCGAGCGUUGUCCGGAUUUAUUGGGCGUAAAGGGCUCGUAGGUGGUUGAUCGCGUCGGAAGUGUAAUCUUGGGGCUUAACCCUGAGCGUGCUUUCGAUACGGGUUGACUUGAGGAAGGUAGGGGAGAAUGGAAUUCCUGGUGGAGCGGUGGAAUGCGCAGAUAUCAGGAGGAACACCAGUGGCGAAGGCGGUUCUCUGGGCCUUUCCUGACGCUGAGGAGCGAAAGCGUGGGGAGCGAACAGGCUUAGAUACCCUGGUAGUCCACGCUGUAAACGGUGGGUACUAGGUGUGGGGUCCAUUCCACGGGUUCCGUGCCGUAGCUAACGCUUUAAGUACCCCGCCUGGGGAGUACGGCCGCAAGGCUAAAACUCAAAGGAAUUGACGGGGCCCCGCACAAGCGGCGGAGCAUGCGGAUUAAUUCGAUGCAACGCGUAGAACCUUACCUGGGUUUGACAUGGAUCGGGAGCGCUCAGAGAUGGGUGUGCCUCUUUUGGGGUCGGUUCACAGGUGGUGCAUGGCUGUCGUCAGCUCGUGUCGUGAGAUGUUGGGUUAAGUCCCGCAACGAGCGCAACCCUUGUUCACUGUUGCCAGCACGUUAUGGUGGGGACUCAGUGGAGACCGCCAGGGUCAACUCGGAGGAAGGUGGGGAUGACGUCAAGUCAUCAUGCCCCUUAUGUCCAGGGCUUCACGCAUGCUACAAUGGCUGGUACAGAGAGUGGCGAGCCUGUGAGGGUGAGCGAAUCUCGGAAAGCCGGUCUCAGUUCGGAUUGGGGUCUGCAACUCGACCUCAUGAAGUCGGAGUCGCUAGUAAUCGCAGAUCAGCAACGCUGCGGUGAAUACGUUCCCGGGGCU